UACGGAGGAUGCGAGCGUUAUCCGGAUUUAUUGUGUUUAAAGGGUGCGCAGGCGGAUUUUUAAGUCAGCGGUCAAAUCGUGGGGCUCAACCCCAUCCAGCCGUUGAAACUGGGGAUCUAGAGUGUGCGAGAGGUAUGCGGAAUGCGUGGUGUAGCGGUGUAAUGCAUAGAUAUCACGCAGAACCCCGAUUGCGAAGGCAGCAUACCGGUGCACAACUGACGCUCAGGCACGAAAGCGUGGGUACCGAACAGG
This 252-nucleotide ribosomal RNA is filed under the name uncultured bacterium. RNAcentral describes it as "partial 16S ribosomal RNA". It matches the Rfam family "Bacterial small subunit ribosomal RNA", at positions 524 to 776 of the family's 1533-position model. The record is from RNAcentral.